CAUCUUCUUCCUAAUUUCCUCUGCUCCUCUCUUACUUGCCCUUUCAUUUCUCUGUCUCAAAUCUUCAGAGAAAAAAAAGCAUUUAAAACUCUCUCAAAACUCUCUAGUCUCUCUCGGUUCUCACUCAUCUCCCUGCCAAACCUAUCUUUAUCCCUUGAUGAAAACAACAACAAUAGAAAUUCAAAUCUCUUGCAUCAAUCCAAUACAUUUCAACAACCCAAUUCAUAAAUCAAAAUGAACUCGAAAACAAAAGAAUGAUUCAUAGCCAAGGUGGUGGCUGAAGGCGUUCGGACUUGGAGUGGCAUACGGAUAACACCGUCACGGUACUGCUGGGAGCACGUCGGCGCUAAUGUGGUUAAGUGUCUUCGCGAGUCUUGCGGCUCAGAUUGGAAGUGCGUGAAUAAGUUCGGUGAUGAACGGGACUGAGGGCUGCCUUUAAGACAGAAUUCCUCAUCGUCGAGGAGAAGCUCAUCGGAUUGGGAACCGCAGCUUCGUCAGUGUCUGUGCACCGUGACUCCAUGCUUGUUGUUGCUGAAAGAAAGAAGAAAUUAGAUAAAUAUUGUGAUGGCUGUAACAAGUUGAUGAAUGUUUAUUUUAAAUGUUUUUUGAAUAUGAUGUUGCUGGUUUUUGUGUUAGGAAAAUCGGGAAUGCUUAGACAGAUCUUGAAGGCUUGAAGUAGUAAAGAUGAAGGAUAUGGUGAUGCCGCUGAAUCUGAACUCGUCGGAGCGUUGUGCUGAGAUUUGGAGCUUGCGUUUGGUGUUGUUUGAAUCGAUAUCGCGUAGGUGUUGAUGACAGUGGGGUUCGUCGGCGAGAUUCGCGUGCAUUCUUGCUCCUUUCAAUUCUUCUUUCAACCUAUGAUAUAAGACAUAACAAAAAUAAUGAAAGAGGAGAAAUGUUAGUGUUCAUUUGAUUUGUUGUUGUUUGGCAUGAAAAAUAUGCAGGGGCUGAUUUUGGUUUCAGUUUUUGAAAGUGAAUUUUGUGAGUUGUAAAGGUUGUGAUGAAGAUAAUGAUGUUUAUGUAUAAGAUUUUGGUUAGUUCGUAAAAAACAAAAAAAUUGAAGAUGAUUGAAUAUUUGUUAUUGUGUAGUGAUUGGAUGAAAAUUUGUACA
Long non-coding RNA from Vicia villosa (hairy vetch), 1108 nucleotides. RefSeq lists it as uncharacterized. The transcript is spliced from 2 exons. The record is from RefSeq and is a predicted model, not a curated record. Lineage: Eukaryota; Viridiplantae; Streptophyta; Magnoliopsida; Fabales; Fabaceae.